AUGACGAAAAACAAGCGACGGCUGAUGAGAGGCGAUGAAGAGCAACAACGCCCUUACAAAAGAGCAACUAGACCAAGAGCCUUGAGUGAACUCAGUGAGCAAGUGGUUUCAAGAUUGCGGAGGAGUGUUGUGUCGCUCGCUUCAUUUGAUGGUGACACCAAGUUACGCGAAUGCACAGGCAUAUGCAUUGAAACCUCGUGUUCAGAUUCCGAAGCUACAAUCCUGACAUCGAGACGGUUGGUUCCACCUACUUGGCCUGCAAGUUUGACGAUUAAAGUAGCCUUCCAAAUGAUCAGAUUGUCACUGGGUGGAUUGAGGAUCCUGGGAUAUAUGUUGAUUUUUUCAUUGUCAACAUCAAGGAGGUGUCUAGAGUUGAUGCCACAAGUCUUGACCGUGACAUACAGUUUGAGCCUCAUACGAAGGCAGCAGCUGUAUGCCGCUGUUUCAGUUCUGGAUUUUUAA
This 462-nucleotide ribosomal RNA is filed under the name Triticum aestivum (bread wheat). Its description in RNAcentral is "partial small subunit ribosomal RNA". Lineage: Eukaryota; Viridiplantae; Streptophyta; Magnoliopsida; Poales; Poaceae. The record is from RNAcentral.